RNAcentral lists this unclassified non-coding RNA (198 nucleotides) under plant metagenome. RNAcentral describes it as "partial contains small subunit ribosomal RNA and internal transcribed spacer 1". The stretch from base 1 to 46 matches the Rfam family "Eukaryotic small subunit ribosomal RNA", at positions 1786 to 1831 of the family's 1831-position model. The record is from RNAcentral.
AAGUCGUAACAAGGUCUCCGUAGGUGAACCUGCGGAGGGAUCAUUACCGAGUGAGGGCCCCCCGGCCCGACCUCCAACCCUUUGCAAACCGACCCGUUGCCUCGGGGGGACUCCGGCGUCUUCGGGGCGCCGGGCCCCCGGUGGACCCCCCGAACUCGCGUCUUUGCCGUCUGAGUCUUGAAUGUAAAUCAAUAAAAA